This 253-nucleotide ribosomal RNA is filed under the name uncultured bacterium. Its description in RNAcentral is "partial 16S ribosomal RNA". It matches the Rfam family "Bacterial small subunit ribosomal RNA", at positions 524 to 776 of the family's 1533-position model. The record is from RNAcentral.
GACAGAGGGGGCAAGCGUUGCUCGGAAUUACUGGGCGUAAAGGGCGCGUAGGCGGAAUGGCAAGUCGGUCGUGAAAUCCUUCGGCUCAACCGAAGAACGUCGAUCGAAACUGCCGUUCUUGAGGAUUGCAGAGGAGACUGGAAUUCCCGGUGUAGCGGUGAAAUGUGUAGAGAUCCGGAGGAACCCCAGAGGCGAAGGCGGCAGCCUGGUUGGUAUCUGACGCUCGGACACGACAGCAUGGGGAGCGAACGGG